CGAAGGAUGCAAGCGUUAUCCGGAUUCAUUGGGCUUAAAGGGAGCGUAGGUGGACUGAUAAGUCAGUGGUGAAAUCUUCGAGCUUAACUCGGAAAUUGCCAUUGAUACUGUUGGUCUUGAGUACAGUUGCUGUGGGCGGAAUAUGACAUGUAGUGGUGAAAUACAUAGAGAUGUCAUAGAACACCGAUUGCGAAGGCAGCUCACAAAGCUGUAACUGACACUGAGGCUCGAAAGUGCGGGGAUCAAACAGGAUUAGAUACCCUGGUAGUCCGCACCGUAAACGAUGAUUACUCGCUGCUAGAUGGCAACAUUUAGUGGCUUAGCGAAAGCGAUAAGUAAUCCACCUGGGGAGUACGCCGGCAACGGUG
Molecule: ribosomal RNA, 368 nt
Filed under: uncultured organism
Description: bacterial SSU rRNA
Rfam family: Bacterial small subunit ribosomal RNA
Source: RNAcentral